This 253-nucleotide ribosomal RNA is filed under the name uncultured bacterium. RNAcentral describes it as "partial 16S ribosomal RNA". It matches the Rfam family "Bacterial small subunit ribosomal RNA", at positions 524 to 776 of the family's 1533-position model. The record is from RNAcentral.
UACAGAGGGUGCAAGCGUUAAUCGGAAUUACUGGGCGUAAAGGGUGCGUAGGUGGUUUGAUAAGUUGUGUGUGAAAGCCCUGGGCUUAACCUGGGAAUGGCACAUGAGACUGUUAAACUAGAGUAGAGUAGAGGGAAGUGGAAUUUCCGGUGUAGCGGUGAAAUGCGUAGAUAUCGGAAGGAACAUCAGUGGCGAAGGCGGCUUCCUGGACUCAUACUGACACUGAGGCACGAAAGCGUGGGGAGCAAACAGG